Molecule: small nucleolar RNA, 139 nt
Organism: Phragmites australis (common reed)
Lineage: Eukaryota; Viridiplantae; Streptophyta; Magnoliopsida; Poales; Poaceae
Product: small nucleolar RNA Z247
Exons: 1
Source: RefSeq, a predicted model, not a curated record
AAAGCUCUUGAUGAUGAGAUGGUCUCCUUUAUCUUGGACGGAGUCGACUUCGACUACAACCCCUUGGUGUUGUCAGUCGUUGGGUGUGUAGAUCCCAUCUCACUCAAUGAUCUGUAUGCCCAGAUGAUGUCCUAUGACA